This 301-nucleotide ribosomal RNA is filed under the name uncultured bacterium. Its description in RNAcentral is "partial 16S ribosomal RNA". It matches the Rfam family "Bacterial small subunit ribosomal RNA", at positions 509 to 809 of the family's 1533-position model. The record is from RNAcentral.
CAGUAGCCACGGGAAUACAGAGGGUGCAAGCGUUAAUCGGAUUUACUGGGCGUAAAGCGUGCGUAGGCGGCUUCUUAAGUCGGAUGUGAAAUCCCUGAGCUUAACUUAGGAAUUGCAUUCGAUACUGGGAAGCUAGAGUAUGGGAGAGGAUGGUAGAAUUCCAGGUGUAGCGGUGAAAUGCGUAGAGAUCUGGAGGAAUACCGAUGGCGAAGGCAGCCAUCUGGCCUAAUACUGACGCUGAGGUACGAAAGCAUGGGGAGCAAACAUGAUUAGAUACCCCCGUAGUCCCUGUCUCUUAUAA